Molecule: ribosomal RNA, 320 nt
Filed under: uncultured Prevotella sp.
Lineage: Bacteria; Pseudomonadati; Bacteroidota; Bacteroidia; Bacteroidales; Prevotellaceae
Description: partial 16S ribosomal RNA
Source: RNAcentral
GGAGUUUGGUCCGUGUCUCAGUACUAAUGUGGGGGACCUUCCUCUCAGAACCCCUACUGAUCGUCGGCUAGGUGGGCCGUUACCCCGCCUACUACCUAAUCAGACGCAUCCCCAUCCCAUAGCGAUAAAUCUUUGGUAUUACUCAGAUGUCCUCAUAAUACAACAUAGGGUAUUAAUCCGACUUUCGCCGGGCUAUCCCCUAGUAUAGGGAAGGUUGGAUACGCGUUACUCACCCGUGCGCCGGUCGCCAUCGGAGUCAGCAAGCUGACUCCAUGCUGCCCCUCGACUUGCAUGUGUUAAGCCUGUAGCUAGCGUUCAUC